Molecule: long non-coding RNA, 2018 nt
Organism: Mesocricetus auratus (golden hamster)
Lineage: Eukaryota; Metazoa; Chordata; Mammalia; Rodentia; Cricetidae
Exons: 5
Source: RefSeq, a predicted model, not a curated record
CAGAGGUCACAUUCCACAUGGAACUCCCUGGUCAAAUGCUAGCAACAAAGAGGAAAGAGAAGUGGAUCUGAGCUGUAGCCCAUGGUCAAAUACCAACCUCUGCAUCUGUGACCAGAUGGAUUUGGGUAAACCCAGCAAAGAGAAUACUGUAUCACUCUAUCAGGUGAUGUUGUGGGUGUUUCUCUAAGAUUCAUCAUAGAUUCCAUCACAAAUUUUAUCUUCACUUGUCAUCUGAGGGUUCUCUCAUUGGCCUCAGAUUUGCCAAGCAGGCUAGGCAAGCCAGCCAGUGAGCCUCAAGGAUCCACCCAUCUCAACCUCCCCAGAGCUGGGACUACAAGUGCUCAUCACUAUGCCCAGCUUUUCAGGCCAUUGAUUCAGCUGCAAAGGCGAUUGCCCAAGAAGGAUAUGAAUAUUGCCUAAUACAUCGACAUGAAAAAAAAAAGUGCUGAACUUUGCAACGAUGGUGAGGAGUCUAUAAAAGAAAAUUCGGGUGGUAAAAUACCAAAGUCUGCCUGUCACAUUUUAUUAUAAGCAGUUCAAAUAACGCUGAUCAAUCUCAUCCAUGUGGAGCCAAACAUUAUCUCUCAUUGUCAGGCAGGCAGCAUGAGACAUUUUCUAUAUCAGCCAGUGUGCAGAGCUUUGGCUGGGCCACCAUUUUGGGAUCUCCUGGUGAAGUGAGACCACGAUGGAAGGGUCCAGAGAACUUCUUUAUGCUGAAGAGUAACACUAGCCUCUCACUCACUGUAUCUACACAUUCAGAAGAGUCAAGUCCCACUGCAGAAGGCCCCAUAUGUUCAGGACUAAGCCACUCAGGGUGCCAUACCCUGUUUCUUCCUCUGUAUACCCCUUACCUGGUAUUGGUCAUGGGCACUGGUUUCUCUCUAACAUCACUUUGAAGCCCGAUUCUGUGCCAAAUGAGAGAACCCAUGUCAUAAUUAAAGUGCUGGCACAUACCAGCAGCAUGUACGACCAGAAACCUUUCUCUCUCCUACGUGGACCCUGUUUGUGGCAGAACCCUACAGUUACAUAGAAAGAGACUGGUGACUCCAGUUCAAGGUCAUGAUUUAAGUUCUACCUUUGGAUGAAGGAUAGAGGAUCUCUCCUGCAUGUGGGACUCCCUUGGGCAGGGAAGCUCUCUUCCCUGAAUUGCUCCUGAGCAUGGGGCAUGUUACACUCAUGGGCCCUGGCAGCAUUCAGUACAACACCUAUACAUGAACUCUCACUGUUACAGCCCUUCCCCACCAGCCAGUUUUCUGUGUGCAUUAAGCGACACUCUGGACUGCCAACAGAAGGAAGAGUGUCCUGGGUGUUGGAAUGUUUCUCAUACAUUAUCACAUGGAACCCUCCCCAUCACCACAGAAGGAAAUGAAUAUUCUCAUUUUCAGACGUGAAAAACUCAAAGCCUAAACUGUUAAAUAAUUUACCCAGGGGAGUAGCAGCAAGGGAGCGAAUGCCUGAUUGUUUCUAAGCAUCAUAGUCUACUUGGUGCAUCACCAUGCCUUUGAGACCCACCAGGAGGCUCUGGCCUGCAUACUUCAGCACCUCACGCUUGUAAUCUCUGCCUAUGCCAAUAACCAAUCACACAGCAAGACUGGCAGUCACACGUGCUCAGAACUGCGUAUUAAUUCAUGUGCCCAUGCAAUGAACCAUCAACCCCAUUUCCCGCCAUCUUCUGCAAGACCCCCCCCCCCAGGGGAAGUGUUCAAAGCCUGUCUCUGCUAAGCUGACUUCACAUUCUGGUUCAGCAAAGAAUGUCUUGGUUACUCUUGGGGCUACUGUGGUUUCAACACAAAUUAUGGAGCUAAAGAGAUGACUCGGUGGUUAAGAGCACAAGCUGUAUUUGCAGAGGACCCAAGUUUGGUUCCCAGCACCCAUGUUGGAUGGCUCACAACCACCUGUAACUCCAGAUCCAGGAGUUAUGAUGCCCUCCUUUGGUCUCUGAGAUUGCCUUGUGUGCACAUACCCCCACAUGCACUCAUAUAUGUAGUUAAAUAUAAAGCUAAAUGUUAAAAAAAAAA